Molecule: non-coding RNA, 72 nt
Organism: Phrynosoma platyrhinos (Desert horned lizard)
Lineage: Eukaryota; Metazoa; Chordata; Lepidosauria; Squamata; Phrynosomatidae
Source: the annotation of a GenBank genome assembly
AGUCUGCUGGUGUCAUGGUCUGAAUGUCGGACUAUGACUCUGGAGACCAGGGUUCGAAUCCCAGCUUGGCCA